UUGUUGUUGAUCUUGUUGUUUUGUUGUUGUUGUUGACCUUGUUGUUGAUCUUGUUGGUCUUGUUGUUGUUGUUGUUGCCAUGUUGUGCCAUUUCUGCUAGAACACAAUCCAAUGGUCCAUUAUUGUAAAAAAAAACUCUUCUAGCUGCAAUAUCAUGUAACUUGCUCUUGAAGCAUAAGGUGUUCUUCCCUUACUCUUCAAUAUGGAUCCUUGUAUACCAAGAGCUC
This 227-nucleotide long non-coding RNA is filed under the name Lupinus angustifolius (narrow-leaved blue lupine). RNAcentral's name for it is "long non-coding RNA (LANG_LNC000135)". Lineage: Eukaryota; Viridiplantae; Streptophyta; Magnoliopsida; Fabales; Fabaceae. The record is from RNAcentral.